RNAcentral lists this ribosomal RNA (427 nucleotides) under uncultured beta proteobacterium. RNAcentral describes it as "bacterial SSU rRNA". It matches the Rfam family "Bacterial small subunit ribosomal RNA", at positions 355 to 774 of the family's 1533-position model. The record is from RNAcentral. Lineage: Bacteria; Pseudomonadati; Pseudomonadota; Betaproteobacteria.
UGGGGAAUCUUGCGCAAUGGGCGAAAGCCUGAUCCAGCCAUGCCGCGUGAGUGAAGAAGGCCUUCGGGUUGUAAAGCUCUUUUAGUCGGAAAGAAAGAGUUGCAAUGAAUAAUUGUGAUUUAUGACGGUACCGACAGAAAAAGCACCGGCUAACUACGUGCCAGCAGCCGCGGUAAUACGUAGGGUGCGAGCGUUAAUCGGAAUUACUGGGCGUAAAGGGUGCGCAGGCGGUCUUGCAAGUCAGAUGUGAAAGCCCCGGGCUUAACCUGGGAAUUGCGUUUGAAACUACAAGGCUAGAGUGCAGCAGAGGGGAGUGGAAUUCCAUGUGUAGCAGUGAAAUGCGUAGAGAUGUGGAAGAACACCGAUGGCGAAGGCAGCUCCCUGGGUUGACACUGACGCUCAUGCACGAAAGCGUGGGGAGCAAACA